CAGUUCGGACUGUAGGCUGCAACUCGCCUACACGAAGUCGGAAUCGCUAGUAAUCGCGGAUCAGCAUGCCGCGGUGAAUACGUUCCCGGGCCUUGUACACACCGCCCGUCACACCAUGGGAGCCGGUAAUACCCGAAGUCAGUAGUCCAACCUCGUGAGGACGCUGCCGAAGGUAGGAUUGGCGACUGGGGUGAAGUCGUAACAAGGUACC
Molecule: ribosomal RNA, 211 nt
Filed under: uncultured bacterium
Lineage: Bacteria
Description: partial 16S ribosomal RNA
Rfam family: Bacterial small subunit ribosomal RNA
Source: RNAcentral